Myxocyprinus asiaticus (Chinese sucker) is the source of this 2302-nucleotide long non-coding RNA. RefSeq lists it as uncharacterized. NCBI's taxonomy places the organism in Eukaryota, Metazoa, Chordata, Actinopteri, Cypriniformes, Catostomidae. The record is from RefSeq and is a predicted model, not a curated record. The transcript has 3 exons.
UACAUUGCUUUCACAUCAUGUUAAGUCACUAACAGUUAGAGGCUCUUAGAAGAAUUACCAUUAUACUUAUUACACUGUUUGAGACUUCUCCUGUUCUAGUUUUCUUCAUACAGUAUAUUUUUCAAUUUAACUUCAAUUGUGAUUCUAUUUAUCACUGUUAUAUAUUUUUACUAUUGGACCAUGAGAAAUAGAUGAAAAGGAACUAUAUGGAUCAACUAUUUUCGAACAAAAUUGGAAUGUAUUUGUACAAUUUAUAGGGUACAAGUUGCUGCAAAUGUGUUCGAGAACUACACCCAAGGGAGAAAUACACCCCCCUCAUCGAAGAGGUUGUAGUUGAUGAACUGUCAUCUGUUGGUCAGGCCAAGAUUUCUGUCCACUGUAAGGAGAACCCUGAGGGUCAAGACGGAAUAGUGGUAUUUGACAUGGAGACAUUUCCCAUCAUCAACUACUUCUGUCUUUCCAGUGUAGAAGACCUUGCUAAAGAUCAAAAACAGAAUAAAUACAAAUCUCAGGGGAAUUAGUUUCUUGUCGACAUCAAUCGCAAAUGAAUAUUCAGGGACAUUUAGAAUGUGAUUGCAUCACAAGAUCUUUCUUCUUUGAUAUGUAUGGUAAUCUAGUCAUGAAAAUGUAAAGCAAUGUGUAAUCAUUAAAUUUAACGUAACAUAACUUUAUUUUUUAAAAUAUUUUCUUGCGUUCUUAGACAAUGUUCUUGGAAAAUAUCAGGUUUUCCCACAUCGUGAGGCCAUUUUCCCCAUAAUAUACUGUAGGUCAAGCCGCAUACACACACACACACACACACACACACACACACACAAACACAAAAUUGGAGUCCUCCGAGCGCAACCCGACAAAAUCAAAGCCAAUCUGAUUUGCUCGCAUUUGCACCACACUGCACAGCUAAAGAGCAUAAAACUAAAACUAUACCUUGUAUUUUCACAAUGCUUCUCAAAACAACAUCCUUUUACGGCUGUCUUGAUGAAAACGUGAGGCGUUGGUCAUUUAAUAUGCAACAUCUCUCUACUUCCACAAUCAACCCCCUCAUCCAGGUUUGAUGCUCAAUCAUGUGGAACGGGAUUGUGAAACAAUAAGAUUUUGCUGUGGGCGGGGCUACGCUGCAUGAAUUGUAGUCUUGAUACACUUCUUGACACUUGAGUUUGGCUGUAAAAUACCAGUAUUUUAUGAGAAAUAAAAAAAGAUUUGCAAGCAACAAACAAACUAAAAAAACAACAACAUUAUAACAGAUGUUUCACGAGUGACCAUAUGCUGCCUUCACGUGUUACCGGAAUUAUCUUAAAUAUGAUUUUCCCACUUGGAAGCUGCACAUGAAUGACCCCUCAAGACAUAAUUAGAACUGAAACUCAAAUAAUUUUUAUAACAGAAUUUCCCAGUUAGGAGAUGUAAAUUUUCAACAUGGUGGAGGAUACUAUGGAGCCCCUUAGAGGACAGGGAGGGAAGGUCUUGCAAUAGUUUUACAUUCCCUCGCAAUAGUUUUGGGUUCCCUCGCAAUAGUUUUGCGUUCCCUCGCAAUAGUUUUGCGUUCCCUCACAAUACGCAAAACUAUUUCAGAAAAGAAUUCCCGCCUUGACCUUUAAGGGGCUCAGUACCGCAGAUUACGGUUUCUGUGGUAAAUGAAAGGUUUUAUUCGUUUUUCUAAAUACAGCUAAUUGUUAGCGCUCGCUGUUUCGGUCAUAUUUAUUUAUGUAUAUCAGUGACCAUUUGAUGCAUAUUGUACAUUUUCACACUGUGAAAAUAGCUUGUAUUUGACCAAAAUUACAUUAUCGUCAGCAAGCUAACUGAUAAUGUAUUAUGGUGUCAAAAUUAAAGUUCCUCAAGUAAUAUGUAUGAAUGAACCUGGCAUCGUCUAUUUUCCUGGUCUUUCCGACAACAAAGUACUUUAAUGCAACAUACUCAUAAUUACCACUUCAGAAGUGGAAAGUAGGGUAAUUCCGAUAGCACAAGAAGGCAGUAUUAGUCCCAGGCAGUUAUGGUUUGACUGGUUAGUAUGGUGCAGUUGGUUGGCCCCUGCUGGUCGAUGCUGUAACUAUACCAUUUUUCUGCCAAAAAGCAUCUUUCUCUACUGAUGGCACAUCGCUGUAAGCAACAUAUUAAAAAUAUUUAUUUUAUAGGUUUUUGCCAUUGCUUCAUUUUUUUAUUGUAAUUUUUUUAGAGCUCUAUAAAGCAGGAAAUUGACUUUUCCCAGUCUUCUGCAUUUGUUGUAACCGACUAGAGACCGCUAGUCAAUAUUUGGGACUAUGUUGACAAUUAAUUCCUGGAAGUUUACAGUAAAAUAUUUACUUACCAA